GGUGAUUUGCAGCUGUGGCGGUGCUGGGCAGUCGAAGGGCUCGCAGGAGCCCUGUGCAUCUCCAGCCCAGCAAAUAAAAGGCAGCCACCAUUCACCAAUGUCUUCAGCAUAAGCAAUUACUCAAACAUCGUCUGUACAGGAGCCUUCGCAUCUGAGGGGAGCUCAGUCCUCGGGGGACCGGGUUCAUUGGUGAGGUCACGCGGAUUCCUCCCGUGCCAGCUGCACCUGUCUAAGCAGCGACUUCUCACAACUUUUGCUUCAAAGCAUCUCUUGAAGAUACAGAAAAUAAUCUUUGAAAUAAAUCAGUAACAUGA
Dipodomys ordii (Ord's kangaroo rat) is the source of this 314-nucleotide long non-coding RNA. RefSeq lists it as uncharacterized. The transcript has 2 exons. Lineage: Eukaryota; Metazoa; Chordata; Mammalia; Rodentia; Heteromyidae. The record is from RefSeq and is a predicted model, not a curated record.